CUACGGGUGGCAGCAGUGGGGAAUAUUGCACAAUGGGCGCAAGCCUGAUACAGCCAUGCCGCGUGUAUGAAGAAGGCCUUCGGGUUGUAAAGUACUUUCAGCGGGGAGGAAGGGAGUAAAGUUAAUACCUUUGCUCAUUGACGUUACCCGCAGAAGAAGCACCGGCUAACUCCGUGCCAGCAGCCGCGGUAAUACGGAGGGUGCAAGCGUUAAUCGGAAUUACUGGGCGUAAAGCGCACGCAGGCGGUUUGUUAAGUCAGAUGUGAAAUCCCCGGGCUCAACCUGGGAACUGCAUCUGAUACUGGCAAGCUUGAGUCUCGUAGAGGGGGGUAGAAUUCCAGGUGUAGCGGUGAAAUGCGUAGAGAUCUGGAGGAAUACCGGUGGCGAAGGCGGCCCCCUGGACGAAGACUGACGCUCAGGUGCGAAAGCGUGGGGAGCAAACAGGAUUAGAUACCCCGGUAGUC
RNAcentral lists this ribosomal RNA (464 nucleotides) under uncultured bacterium. RNAcentral's name for it is "partial 16S ribosomal RNA". It matches the Rfam family "Bacterial small subunit ribosomal RNA", at positions 339 to 795 of the family's 1533-position model. The record is from RNAcentral.